AUGAACUGCGACAUGGAGGAGAAAGGGAUUGUACUCCGGGAGCUGAGCUGCCAGACUCUCCUCCAUGUCUCCUCCUCCGGACUACGGCGGCAGUCCGGCAGCUCCGGUGGGGGGAGGCAGUCCAGCAGAGAAAGGGAUUGUACUCCCGGAGCUGAGCUGCAGCCAAGUUCCCCCUGCCGGAGCUGCUCGUCCGCUGGUCCACAAAAUCUCUGGCCCUCUCUCAACAGGCUGACCCAAGGCUGCUGUGUGGCGCUGCGGACGCUACUUCCGGGUAGCCGGCUUGGUUUGGUUAGCAGGACGCUUAAGGUCUACCUGCUAUUUUCGGUUUAUAUCUAUUUUUCCGCUAUUUAUAUCUGCGUCCUGUUCUGCAUACUCUGUAUUGUAUUCGCUAUUUCCUCGUUGGAGCUCUGUCUGCAUCAACCAAGCUCACUUCAAAGUGCUGACAUGAUGCAAUUUGCAAAGUAAUGGCAACAUAGAUGAAGCUCGAACCAUUGAGGAGGCACGCUACGCUGUUUGCUAUUCGCGGUUUCAGAAAGGUGGCUGGGUAGUCCGCCCCAUCAAGGAGAAACCAUCUUACGGUUAGUCGUUUCACUUAGUUUCUCAAUAUCUUUUAUGUCAAUCUAUCUUUUUUUAUGCAAGUCAAUCAUGUUCCUGAUUGUGUUCUUAACAUUUCUCUCCUCAAGGAUAUGCAACAAAUCUUAUGGUCUCUCUGGUAGAGGAAUACUCUAGAUCACCACAGGCCCUACUAGAAAGCAGUGCUGUCUUGUCUUGUGCUGCCCCGCCCCCCCUCACCACUUCCCUCCAGAAGGUUGCCAAGGAUGAGGCAGUCAGGCUCCAUCUCGCACGACACUCGCGUUUUAACGUGUAAUAAAACAUACGUGAAAGAAAUUGGGAGAAAACGGGUAUCGGUACUCUUUAGUUCGUUUAUUAGUUACAAUGGAACUGAGUUGAUGGUAUAGUGUAUGAUGACAACAUCAGUGAAUGAGAUGAUGAGAAUAUAUUUUUGGACUAUUUAUUAUGCUACCUUUCUUCUUUUUUAACGACUCCAGUGUGUGAGUGCAUUGAAUUUCCCGUGCAAUGACAAAUAAAUCGAAUCUAAUCUAAU
This 1105-nucleotide long non-coding RNA is filed under the name Gadus morhua (Atlantic cod). Its description in RNAcentral is "lncRNA (ENSGMOG00000028300.1)". Lineage: Eukaryota; Metazoa; Chordata; Actinopteri; Gadiformes; Gadidae. The record is from RNAcentral.